GCUUAGCUCAGCUGGGAGAGCGCCUGCUUUGCACGCAGGAGGUCAGCGGUUCGAUCCCGCUAGUCUCCACCAUUAU
This 76-nucleotide transfer RNA is filed under the name Staphylococcus aureus O11. Its description in RNAcentral is "tRNA-Ala". It matches the Rfam family "tRNA". From Rfam's summary of the family: Transfer RNA (tRNA) molecules are approximately 80 nucleotides in length. Their secondary structure includes four short double-helical elements and three loops (D, anti-codon, and T loops). Further hydrogen bonds mediate the characteristic L-shaped molecular structure. tRNAs have two regions of fundamental functional importance: the anti-codon, which is responsible for specific mRNA codon recognition, and the 3' end, to which the tRNAs corresponding amino acid is attached (by aminoacyl-tRNA synthetases). tRNAs cope with the degeneracy of the genetic code in two manners: having more than one tRNA (with a specific anti-codon) for a particular amino acid; and 'wobble' base-pairing, i.e. permitting non-standard base-pairing at the 3rd anti-codon position. Lineage: Bacteria; Bacillati; Bacillota; Bacilli; Caryophanales; Staphylococcaceae. The record is from RNAcentral.